CCGGGGGCUGGGCAGGCGGCCUGGCCACAUGGGGAGGGAAAUCCUUGUAUCCGGGGGUCCAUGGCCAGGUAGGGAGGAAGCAGGGAGUCACAUAGAGGGGUGGAAGUGAGUGUAGGGGGAAGGGGCCCUGGCCACGCAGGAAAGGAGGAGAGGGUCCUUGACAGCAGGGAGUCCUGGCACCUCCAGAGGUGACUGGCAACUGGCAUGCCAGAUUUGAAGUUGGAAAACUGUUAGAUGGCUCAAAAAGUGACUCUCCCGAAGAUGAAGACACGUGUCAAAAUAGAAGGAGCAUUUCACCAUGAUGUGUCAGGAUUCCCCACAGCUCCCUGGUGAGCUCUGCAAACACUGAAAUGGAAAAGCUGGCUCCUGGGACUGUCUGUUCCUAGCUUCUCUUUAGCCCAAUAUGAAUGAGUUGGUGGUUCCCCAAAAACCUACCUUCCACAAUGGAGAUAAAGGACCAAGAACACUCAUCUGAGAAAUCCUUUGUCUUCUCUGCUGGAAGCACCCCUAGACACAGCCCGAUGGGAAAAUGCUGACCAAGAAGACCACAGCCCCCCUCCCCUACCUAAAACCCCAAAUAAAAACCUCUACCCAUUUCUUAACGGGGCACAAGCAACUUUUGGGGCACUGGCCCUCUGCUUUGCUCCCUCUGCCUGGCAAAGUAAAG
RNAcentral lists this long non-coding RNA (667 nucleotides) under Equus caballus (horse). RNAcentral describes it as "lncRNA (ENSECAG00000058314.1)". Lineage: Eukaryota; Metazoa; Chordata; Mammalia; Perissodactyla; Equidae. The record is from RNAcentral.